Molecule: ribosomal RNA, 497 nt
Filed under: uncultured bacterium
Lineage: Bacteria
Description: partial 16S ribosomal RNA
Rfam family: Bacterial small subunit ribosomal RNA
Source: RNAcentral
GAUGAACGCUGGCGGCGUGCCUAAUACAUGCAAGUCGAGCGAACGGACGAGAAGCUUGCUUCUCUGAUGUUAGCGGCGGACGGGUGAGUAACACGUGGAUAACCUACCUAUAAGACUGGGAUAACUUCGGGAAACCGGAGCUAAUACCGGAUGAUAUUUUGAACCGCAUGGUUCAAAAGUGAAAGACGGUCUUGCUGUCACUUAUAGAUGGAUCAGCGCUGCAUUAGCUAGUUGGUAAGGUAACGGCUUACCAAGGCAACGAUGCAUAGCCGACCUGAGAGGGUGAUCGGCCACACUGGAACUGAGACACGGUCCAGACUCCUACGGGAGGCAGCAGUAGGGAAUCUUCCGCAAUGGGCGAAAGCCUGACGGAGCAACGCCGCGUGAGUGAUGAAGGUCUUCGGAUCGUAAAACUCUGUUAUUAGGGAAGAACAAAUGUGUAAGUAACUGUGCACAUCUUGACGGUACCUAAUCAGAAAGCCACGGCUAACUACGUG